This 741-nucleotide ribosomal RNA is filed under the name Musculium kashmirense. RNAcentral's name for it is "eukaryotic LSU rRNA". It matches the Rfam family "Eukaryotic large subunit ribosomal RNA", at positions 402 to 961 of the family's 3401-position model. The record is from RNAcentral. Lineage: Eukaryota; Metazoa; Mollusca; Bivalvia; Venerida; Sphaeriidae.
AAACCGCAAAGAGGUAAACGGGUGGAUCCGCGAGGUCGGCCCUGGGAAUUCAGCCCAGCAUGUUGGGGCGGCUUGGACGUGGUGAUCUGUCCAGGACUCCACGUUCUCGCGUCGGCUUCCAGCGAGCAGGGUGCACUUUCUCCGGGUCGAGUGCCACGACCGGUUCCGCGCUAGUCAUGAGCCCGGCGGCAAGGUUACUGUAACAGGUGUUAUAGGCCGCCGAGGUGGACACGCUGCGGGACCGAGGAUGCUUGCCGCAUUCCACGGCUUCGGGUCGUACGGGCGCGUUCAACGUUGGCGUCACUUCUCGCAAGUGCGCCGAGACCGCGUGCCUGUCACGGGCCCGUCUGCCGGGAGUGCCUCGUGUCGGUGGCCAAACGGUCGGUCCUCCACCCGACCCGUCUUGAAACACGGACCAAGGAGUCUAACAUGUGCGCGAGUCAAGGGGUCUAACGAAACCCAAAGGCGCAAUGAAAGUGAAGGCCGCCUCCGGUUGGCCUAGGCGGGAUCCCGUCCCGUUCGCGGGGCGGGCGCACUGCCGGCCCGUCUCGGCUGCAUCGUCAGCGAGGCGGAGCAAGAGCGCACACGUUGGGACCCGAAAGAUGGUGAACUAUGCCUGAGUAGGACGAAGUCAGAGGAAACUCUGAUGGAGGUCCGUAGCGAUUCUGACGUGCAAAUCGAUCGUCAAACUUGGGUAUAGGGGCGAAAGACUAAUCGAACCAUCUAGUAGCUGGUUCCCUC